UGUGGUGAUGUGUUUUGGAGUCAGAGGGCUGGAGGAGUGCCUUGGCUGCUGGAUGUGGCUGGGAAUGGUGGUUGCAGAGAAAAAUAAAUACCCCCUUGGCGUGUUUGUGGCAUUGGUUUCUUACUGCAAACACAAGGCUGAAUGGGAAAGGAAGGGAAGACUGAGUUGGUGCUGCUGAAUGCAGAGCUUGUGUGGCUGCACCGGCAUCUCUGACAGCAUAAUCUCCUGCUUGGUGUCAUCAUUAUGGAAACAAGCUGUAAAUCUCCCCUUGAUGUUAUGUAGAUCCGGGAUCGCUUGCCUCACGGGAACAGCCACUGUUAAGAAAUAGGGUGUUGAACAUAAAGAUUGCAAGCACUAAUUUUGGGAAGGAGCUGCCUUAGCACCGAGAGGCACCGGUGAAGCUGGGGCUCAGCAUGGGGUUGGCUCCCAGCUCUGGGCGCUCCCCAUACCAAGUCCUCCUUUCCCCUUCUCAUCCCCUUGCAGAGCCAUAGAGCAGCAGGAGGGGAGAGUAGUGCAGAGCCGGGGGAGGGGGGUCGGGUAGCACAAGCUGCUGUUUGGAUAUUUUCAUCUCCGUUUUGCUGACCCACGGACACCUUUGCUCCCAGCCCUGUCAUUUUCACACCUGCUCCCAUUUAAUUCUGCACAUCCUGGCCAGCUCUGCGGGUCGCUGCGUUUCGGGCUCUCCUGCUCCCUGCGCCUCCUCUCACCCUCCACGAGCCCUUUAAUCUCUGGGAAUUUACUUUUUUUCCCUCUGACAUCUCUGAGUCUCUUGUGAAAUGCAAAUUAAUUAGAUUCUAAUUACUCACUGUGUGCUGUUUCUGUUUCGCUCUCUUGUUAGGUUAGUCUAACAUCUUUGUUGUCAGCUGUAUGUUGUAUGUAUUCAGCCCAUUAAAAGUGAUCCUUGUUCAGCGGGAGACAGGCAGAGCAAAGAGACAGUUCCCCCCUCCCGCUGGGGCUUUGUCAGGAGCAGCUUUGUCAGCACUUCCCGGCAGCAUCGCAAAGGCAAACCUUGCCUUUUUUCCUUCCAAUUGUUCAUUUUCCCUCCGUGUG
Molecule: non-coding RNA, 1050 nt
Organism: Meleagris gallopavo (turkey)
Lineage: Eukaryota; Metazoa; Chordata; Aves; Galliformes; Phasianidae
Source: RefSeq, a predicted model, not a curated record